RNAcentral lists this ribosomal RNA (424 nucleotides) under uncultured Staphylococcus sp. RNAcentral describes it as "bacterial SSU rRNA". It matches the Rfam family "Bacterial small subunit ribosomal RNA", at positions 958 to 1381 of the family's 1533-position model. Lineage: Bacteria; Bacillati; Bacillota; Bacilli; Caryophanales; Staphylococcaceae. The record is from RNAcentral.
AACGCGAAGAACCUUACCAAAUCUUGACAUCCUUUGACCGCUCUAGAGAUAGAGUCUUCCCCUUCGGGGGACAAAGUGACAGGUGGUGCAUGGUUGUCGUCAGCUCGUGUCGUGAGAUGUUGGGUUAAGUCCCGCAACGAGCGCAACCCUUAAGCUUAGUUGCCAGCAUUAAGUUGGGCACUCUAAGUUGACUGCCGGUGACAAACCGGAGGAAGGUGGGGAUGACGUCAAAUCAUCAUGCCCCUUAUGAUUUGGGCUACACACGUGCUACAAUGGACGGUACAAAGGGCAGCGAAACCGCGAGGUCAAGCAAAUCCCAUAAAGCCGUUCUCAGUUCGGAUUGUAGUCUGCAACUCGACUACAUGAAGCUGGAAUCGCUAGUAAUCGUAGAUCAGCAUGCUACAGUGAAUCCGUUCCCGGGUCU